RNAcentral lists this long non-coding RNA (1430 nucleotides) under Homo sapiens (human). RNAcentral's name for it is "HSALNT0318535". The record is from RNAcentral. Lineage: Eukaryota; Metazoa; Chordata; Mammalia; Primates; Hominidae.
CGAGCCUGUAAUCCCAGCUGCUGGGGAGGCUGAGGCAUGGGAAUCUCUUGAACCCGGGAGGCGGAGCUUGCAGUGAGCCGAGAACACGCCACCGCACUCCAGCCUGGGCAACAGAGCGAGACUCCGUCUCACAAAAUAAAUAAAAGCCCUGUCUCCAAAUAUGUCACAUUGUGAGGUACCCGGGGUCAAGACUUCAACAUAAGUUGGGGGGGCGGUGCAGGGCAUAACCCUGCCCAUGACAGCCCUGGUUCAUUUCUGAACUGGUUGAAGGCUGCCUCCCUCUGCCCUUGACGCCGCACCACCUUCCUGCCUGGAUCCUCUGCUCCCAUGUGCUGUCCACAUGCUGCUCGAGGACUCCUUCUAAUGCGCCACCUAUCCUGCUUCUCAGCCCUCAGUGAAGCCCAGUUCCUUCACAGGACGCAGGAAUCCUUCUCGAACCUGGCCCUACCUUUCUCGCCUGCCUGUGUUCCUUCCAUACUUCUUGUCUUGCGCUUGUCCCAGUGGGUGCUGAACUGCUGUGACCUGGCUGUGCUGUUUCCUGCCUCGAUACCUCUGCUUCUAUUUAUGCCCUCACCCUGAGUUUUUUGCCUUUGCCUGCCUACCCCUUAUUCAUUCUUCAAAAUUGACAGUGAGAGGGAGACUUUUGUGGUUCCUUGAAUUCCAUCCCAGCUCUGGCUUCUGGACCAGAGAGACUUGCGUGCACGCACAGAACCCAGCGCAGGCAGACGGCAUGUGGACAGAUCACAGCACAGCGGCCCUUUGUGAGGAACAAUGACAAUGACUUCCACCUCUUCCGGGGAGAAGCCCAGAUGAGGAGGUCAGUUGCUGUGGCCUGUCAGCCCUAGAGGUGAUGUCACCGUCUCCCGAGGACAAAACCUUCAUUUAGCUGCAAGAGGGAACAGUUGAGUAGUAAAGUGCUUAUUGUUGUGGGUCAUCCUUUGGCUCAGAUUUUGUAAACAGAUUCAUCUUGAAUGACUGCAUGCAUAGGGAUUACAGGAACGACUGCAUUGUCUGAAAUGACAAGCCUGGAAAUUUCCACUGUAGGGGGAUGUCAUGGGAUUCACUACUGGUAUAGACAUUAAAACUUACAAAGAAGAAAAUUCUGUAGAAAUAAAGACAUGCUUAAUAUAUUUAUUUGAAGAAAGCAGAAGGAAAAUAAGUCUGAUGUGUAUCGCAUGGGAAGAGGGACAUUAUGACGGCAUAAAAAAGUUAAAAUGGGCCAGGCGCAGUGGUUCAUGCCUGUAAUCCCAGCACUUUGGGAGUCCGAGGCGGGCGGAUCACGAGGGCAGGAGAUCGAGACCAUCCUGGCUAACACAGUGAAACUCCAUCUCUACUAAAAAUACAAAAAAAAAAAAAAAUUAGCCAGGCGUGGUGGCAGGUGCCUGUAGUCCCAGCUACUUGGGAGGCUGAGGCAGGAGAAUGGCGUGAAC